This 233-nucleotide unclassified non-coding RNA is filed under the name plant metagenome. Its description in RNAcentral is "partial contains small subunit ribosomal RNA, internal transcribed spacer 1, and 5.8S ribosomal RNA". The stretch from base 1 to 53 matches the Rfam family "Eukaryotic small subunit ribosomal RNA", at positions 1778 to 1831 of the family's 1831-position model. The record is from RNAcentral.
GGAAGUAAAGUCGUAACAAGGUCUCCGUUGGUGAACCAGCGGAGGGAUCAUUACAGGAUCGAAAGACUCCUAUAACCCCUGUGAACUUACUACAAAUACGUUGCUUCGGCGGGUGCCCCGGGUCUCCCGGGGCGUUCAGCCCGCCGGCAGCCUUCAAAUUCUGUUUCUUUGCGUUGGCAUCUCGAGUAUACAAAAAUAAGUUAAAACUUUCAACAACGGAUCUCUUGGUUCUG